CCCUAUGGGGCGCACCGAAUACUUGGAACUAUUUGCUUGAACACAGAGAAUAUCUGGAUAGAAGGAAAAGUUCGAUAUACAAAAACAAACCGGAAUUUUCCGUGUUCGGUAUAGGGGCAUAUUCCUUCAGGCAAUGGAAAAUUGCCAUAUCGGGCUUAUAUAAGAAAUUGAAGUUUCAUCUUGUCGGACCAUUGGAUGGCAAAACCGUGAUUUUCGAUGAUACGGUGAAUUUUCUGUCUUUCGACACCAAAGAAGAGGCUGAAUUUGUUUAUCGCCUGAUCACAUCCGCACCUGCUCUUGAAUUGUUCGGGUCAAUGGUGUUUUGGGAUGAGAAACGUCCUGUAACGGUACAACUGCUGAGAAGACUGUCAAUAAAGGAAUUGGCGGGGGGGC
RNAcentral lists this ribosomal RNA (393 nucleotides) under uncultured prokaryote. RNAcentral describes it as "partial 16S ribosomal RNA". The record is from RNAcentral.